This 427-nucleotide ribosomal RNA is filed under the name uncultured bacterium. Its description in RNAcentral is "partial 16S ribosomal RNA". It matches the Rfam family "Bacterial small subunit ribosomal RNA", at positions 355 to 774 of the family's 1533-position model. The record is from RNAcentral.
UGGGGAAUAUUGCACAAUGGGCGCAAGCCUGAUGCAGCCAUGCCGCGUGUAUGAAGAAGGCCUUCGGGUUGUAAAGUACUUUCAGCGGGGAGGAAGGCGAUAAGGUUAAUAACCUUGUCGAUUGACGUUACCCGCAGAAGAAGCACCGGCUAACUCCGUGCCAGCAGCCGCGGUAAUACGGAGGGUGCAAGCGUUAAUCGGAAUUACUGGGCGUAAAGCGCACGCAGGCGGUCUGUCAAGUCGGAUGUGAAAUCCCCGGGCUCAACCUGGGAACUGCAUUCGAAACUGGCAGGCUAGAGUCUUGUAGAGGGGGGUAGAAUUCCAGGUGUAGCGGUGAAAUGCGUAGAGAUCUGGAGGAAUACCGGUGGCGAAGGCGGCCCCCUGGACAAAGACUGACGCGCAGGUGCGAAAGCGUGGGGAGCAAACA